UACGGAGGGUGCAAGCGUUAUCCGGAUUCACUGGGUUUAAAGGGAGCGUAGGUGGGCUGGUAAGUCAGUGGUGAAAUCUCCGGGCUUAACUCGGAAACUGCCGUUGAUACUAUCAGUCUUGAAUAUUGUGGAGGUAAGCGGAAUAUGUCAUGUAGCGGUGAAAUGCUUAGAUAUGACAUAGAACACCGAUAGCGAAGGCAGCUUGCUACACAAUUAUUGACACUGAGGCGCGAAAGCUAGGGGAGCGAACGGG
Molecule: ribosomal RNA, 253 nt
Filed under: uncultured bacterium
Lineage: Bacteria
Description: partial 16S ribosomal RNA
Rfam family: Bacterial small subunit ribosomal RNA
Source: RNAcentral